This is a long non-coding RNA of Cygnus atratus (black swan), 507 nucleotides long. RefSeq lists it as uncharacterized. The record is from RefSeq and is a predicted model, not a curated record. The transcript is spliced from 3 exons. Lineage: Eukaryota; Metazoa; Chordata; Aves; Anseriformes; Anatidae.
ACUUCUGCAUUCAGUACGCAUGGCCUUGUGGAUGCCCAGGAGAGCAGGCUGUCAUCCUUCAUCCUGAGUGUGUGCUCAUCGCAUCUACCUUCGGAAAAGUUUACCUGUCCUGCUGUGGGCCAGCACUAAGACACCUUGUGGAACAAGAGCCUCCAACAUGUGAGCUCCGUGCCAUCUGCAGCAGCAAGGGGAGUGUGGAUCCAAUACUUUGCCCUGCUUGGUCCUGCACUUCUGGAGGUGUGGAGCCACUGCUGGGGCAUCUCUGGAGCUCUCCUUUCUGUCAUAAGGUACAUCUCCUCGCCCUGGCCCCCAUAGGAAGCCACAAGCAGAAAAACAGGUGCCCGCUGGGAGUCAUUCUGGGGUGCUCUGCUCCAAAAGGCUGAGCUGAAUGUCACUUCUCAGAAGCAUUUGCAUUUCUGAAAGCACAGAAAUCUAUCCAUGAGCUGGUAUCUACUAAAACACCAGACGGUUCGGGGCAGCGUGCCCAGAAAUGUUGGUAUUUGUGCU